This 466-nucleotide ribosomal RNA is filed under the name uncultured bacterium. Its description in RNAcentral is "partial 16S ribosomal RNA". It matches the Rfam family "Bacterial small subunit ribosomal RNA", at positions 338 to 795 of the family's 1533-position model. The record is from RNAcentral.
CCUACGGGAGGCAGCAGUGAGGAAUAUUGGUCAAUGGCCGUAAGGCUGAACCAGCCAAGUAGCGUGAGGGAAGACUGCCCUAUGGGUUGUAAACCUCUUUUAUGCGGGGAUAAAGGUGUCCACGUGUGGAUGUUUGCAGGUACCGCAUGAAUAAGGACCGGCUAAUUCCGUGCCAGCAGCCGCGGUAAUACGGAAGGUCCGGGCGUUAUCCGGAUUUAUUGGGGUUAAAGGGAGCGUAGGCCGGGCUUUAAUCGUGCCGUGAAAUUUUGUGGGUCACCCAUGAGAGUGCGGCGCGAACUGGAGACCUUGAGUGCGCGGAAGGCAGGCGGAAUUCGUGGUGUAGCGGUGAAAUGCUUAGAUAUCACGAAGAACCUCGAUUGCGAAGGCAGCCUGCCGCAGCGUUACUGACGCUGACAUUGAUGCUCGAAAGUGUGGGUAUCAAACAGGAUUAGAUACCCCAGUAGUC